AAAUUGAAGAGUUUGAUCAUGGCUCAGAUUGAACGCUGGCGGCAGGCCUAACACAUGCAAGUCGAACGGUAACAGGAAGAAGCUUGCUUCUUUGCUGACGAGUGGCGGACGGGUGAGUAAUGUCUGGGAAACUGCCUGAUGGAGGGGGAUAACGUACUGGAAACGGUAGCUAAUACCGCAUAACG
This 185-nucleotide ribosomal RNA is filed under the name Escherichia coli O157:H7 str. LSU-61. Its description in RNAcentral is "partial 16S ribosomal RNA". It matches the Rfam family "Bacterial small subunit ribosomal RNA", at positions 1 to 178 of the family's 1533-position model. The record is from RNAcentral. Lineage: Bacteria; Pseudomonadati; Pseudomonadota; Gammaproteobacteria; Enterobacterales; Enterobacteriaceae.